This 250-nucleotide ribosomal RNA is filed under the name uncultured bacterium. Its description in RNAcentral is "partial 16S ribosomal RNA". It matches the Rfam family "Bacterial small subunit ribosomal RNA", at positions 355 to 598 of the family's 1533-position model. The record is from RNAcentral.
UCGAGAAUUUUUCACAAUGGGGGAAACCCUGAUGGAGCGACGCCGCGUGGGGGAUGAAGGGCUUCGGCUCGUAAACCCCUGUCAUUCGCGAAUAAUUGCUGUGGCCUAACACGUCACGGUUUGAUAGUAGCGGAAGAGGAAGGGACGGCUAACUCUGUGCCAGCAGCCGCGGUAAUACAGAGGUCCCAAGCGUUGUUCGGAUUUACUGGGCGUAAAGGGUGCGUAGGCGGCAGGGAAAGUUCGGGGUGAA